CGCGGCGGCCCCUCGCGGCCGCCCCGGACGAGGUGCGUCGUACCCGGCACGACAAGACGACGCGGU
Molecule: non-coding RNA, 66 nt
Filed under: Kitasatospora setae
Lineage: Bacteria; Bacillati; Actinomycetota; Actinomycetes; Kitasatosporales; Streptomycetaceae
Also listed under: 1 other name
Source: RNAcentral